Molecule: long non-coding RNA, 171 nt
Organism: Portunus trituberculatus (swimming crab)
Lineage: Eukaryota; Metazoa; Arthropoda; Malacostraca; Decapoda; Portunidae
Exons: 2
Source: RefSeq, a predicted model, not a curated record
ACCAAGAGAGAUAUAUAAAACAAAACAACCAUCAAUGGCGGGGUGGAAGGAUGACGAUGUAGUGCCCGAGUGUCAAGUAGCCAAUUUGGACGUCAUUUCCAGCGUAACCCUAUGGCGUCAGCAACCCUUACUGCCGUCAGGAAUGUGUUAAGAAUAUGAAGAAAGACAGAC